GGCUUGUAGCUCAGUUGGUUAGAGCGCGCGCUUGAUAAGCGUGAGGUCGGAGGUUCAAGUCCUCCCAGGCCCACCAAUUCAAUUAGGUAGUGAUAAAGCGCUUAUUGUAAGAUGCAGAUAACAUGCGCGAUUUAUCAAAAAUGCUGAGACGAUUUUGUCUCGGAUUGAGAUUUAUCACUUUAUAAGUUUAUGUUUUUUGUUCUUUUUAGGGGCCGUAGCUCAGCUGGGAGAGCACCUGCUUUGCAAGCAGGGGGUCGUCGGUUCA
This 265-nucleotide unclassified non-coding RNA is filed under the name uncultured Bartonella sp. RNAcentral describes it as "partial 16S-23S ribosomal RNA intergenic spacer". The stretch from base 1 to 73 matches the Rfam family "tRNA". The record is from RNAcentral. Lineage: Bacteria; Pseudomonadati; Pseudomonadota; Alphaproteobacteria; Hyphomicrobiales; Bartonellaceae.